GCGCUGGAAACGGNGUCUANUACUGGAUAUGUGACGUGACCGCAUGGUCUGCGUUUGGAAAGAUUUUUCGGUUGGGGAUGGGCUCGCGGCCUAUCAGCUUGUUGGUGAGGUAAUGGCUCACCAAGGCGUCGACGGGUAGCCGGCCUGAGAGGGUGACCGGCCACACUGGGACUGAGACACGGCCCAGACUCCUACGGGAGGCAGCAGUGGGGAAUAUUGCACAAUGGGCGGAAGCCUGAUGCAGCAACGCCGCGUGAGGGAUGACGGCCUUCGGGUUGUAAACCUCUUUUAGCAGGGAAGAAGCGAAAGUGACGGUACCUGCAGAAAAAGCGCCGGCUAACUACGUGCCAGCAGCCGCGGUAAUACGUAGGGCGCAAGCGUUAUCCGGAAUUAUUGGGCGUAAAGAGCUCGUAGGCGGUUUGUCGCGUCUGCUGUGAAAUCCCGAGGCUCAACCUCGGGCCUGCAGUGGGUACGGGCAGACUAGAGUGCGGUAGGGGAGAUUGGAAUUCCUGGUGUAGCGGUGGAAUGCGCAGAUAUCAGGAGGAACACCGAUGGCGAAGGCAGAUCUCUGGGCCGUAACUGACGCUGNNNNNCGAAAGGGUGGGGAGCAAACAGGCUUAGAUACCCUGGUAGUCCACCCCGUAAACGUUGGGAACUAGUUGUGGGGUCCAUUCCACGGAUUCCGUGACGCAGCUAACGCAUUAAGUUCCCCGCCUGGGGAGUACGGCCGCAAGGCUAAAACUCAAAGGAAUUGACGNNNNNCCGCACAAGCGNCGNANCAUGCGGAUUAAUUCGAUGCAACGCGAAGAACCUUACCAAGGCUUGACAUAUACGAGAACGGGCCAGAAAUGGUCAACUCUUUGGACACUCGUAAACAGGUGGUGCAUGGNUUGUCGUCNGCUCGUGUCGUGANANGUUGGGUUAAGUCCCGCAACGAGCGCAACCCU
RNAcentral lists this ribosomal RNA (947 nucleotides) under Microbacterium paraoxydans. RNAcentral's name for it is "partial 16S ribosomal RNA". It matches the Rfam family "Bacterial small subunit ribosomal RNA", at positions 147 to 1105 of the family's 1533-position model. Lineage: Bacteria; Bacillati; Actinomycetota; Actinomycetes; Micrococcales; Microbacteriaceae. The record is from RNAcentral.